CGGGGUGAGUAAUGUCUGGGAAACUGCCUGAUGGAGGGGGAUAACUACUGGAAACGGUAGCUAAUACCGCAUAAUGUCGCAAGACCAAAGUGGGGGACCUUCGGGCCUCUUGCCAUCGGAUGUGCCCAGAUGGGAUUAGCUAGUAGGUGGGGUAACGGCUCACCUAGGCGACGAUCCCUAGCUGGUCUGAGAGGAUGACCAGUCACACUGGAACUGAGACACGGUCCAG
Molecule: ribosomal RNA, 229 nt
Filed under: uncultured bacterium
Lineage: Bacteria
Description: partial 16S ribosomal RNA
Rfam family: Bacterial small subunit ribosomal RNA
Source: RNAcentral